UUUGGUGGCGAUAGCGAAGAGGUCACACCCGUUCCCAUACCGAACACGGAAAGUUAAAGCUCUUCAGCGCCGAUGGUAGUUGGGGGUCUCCCCCUGUGAGAGUAGGACGCCGCCAAGC
Molecule: ribosomal RNA, 118 nt
Filed under: Bacillus pumilus
Lineage: Bacteria; Bacillati; Bacillota; Bacilli; Caryophanales; Bacillaceae
Source: RNAcentral